GUGUCAGCAGCCGCGGUAACACGUAGGAGACUAGCGUUAUUCGGAUUUACUGGGCGUAAAGCGCGUGCAGGCGGUUCGGUUAGUUGGAUGUGAAAGCUCCUGGCUUAACUGGGAGAGGUCGUUCAAUACUGCCGGACUUGAGAGUGGUAGAGGGAGUUGGAAUUCCGGGUGUAGUGGUAAAAUGCGUAGAUAUCCGGAAGAACACCAGUGGCGAAAGCGGACUCCUGGACCAUUUCUGACGCUCAGACGCGAAAGCUAGGGGAGCGAACGGGAUUAGAUACCCUUGUAGUCC
RNAcentral lists this ribosomal RNA (292 nucleotides) under uncultured bacterium. RNAcentral describes it as "partial 16S ribosomal RNA". It matches the Rfam family "Bacterial small subunit ribosomal RNA", at positions 505 to 796 of the family's 1533-position model. The record is from RNAcentral.